UGGUGGAGUGAUUUGUCUGGUUAAUUCCGAUAACGAACGAGACCUUAACCUGCUAAAUAGCCAGGCCGGCUUUCGCUGGUCGCCGGCUUCUUAGAGGGACUGUCAGCGUCUAGCCGACGGAAGUUUGAGGCAAUAACA
RNAcentral lists this ribosomal RNA (138 nucleotides) under uncultured eukaryote. RNAcentral describes it as "partial 18S ribosomal RNA". It matches the Rfam family "Eukaryotic small subunit ribosomal RNA", at positions 1299 to 1458 of the family's 1831-position model. The record is from RNAcentral.